This is a non-coding RNA of Anas platyrhynchos (mallard), 1447 nucleotides long. Lineage: Eukaryota; Metazoa; Chordata; Aves; Anseriformes; Anatidae. The record is from RefSeq and is a predicted model, not a curated record.
ACUGUGCGCUUAGUCACAUGGUCUGAACUUUUGGGUAGACCUGUGCGGUGUCAAGAGUUGGACUUGAUGAUCCUUAAGGGUCCCUUCCAACUCAGGAUAUUCUAUGAUUCUAUGCUCAAAACCCUGGGGCUGGCUCAAUGUGUGGGAAGACGUCGCCAUCUCGCGGUGGAGAUGGUCAUGCGCUGAGCACAGCUGAUUUGUGGAGAAAGAAAAACAGUAGAUUCUGAAGCUUUUGCAAAGGGUCUUAAGCCAGGAGCACACUGGAACUGCAGUUUUCUGCUGUGACUAACCUGCUCCUGAAAAAAUAAAAACCAACACGUGGAGUAGCCAGGACAUGCUUGGAUGUGCUUUAUGCUCCGUUUGUCUCCUUUGCUUUUGGCAGGGCUGUGAAGGAGCUGGAGGCUCAGCUGGAAUUCGAGCGAGUCAGGCGGGAGAAGCUGGAGAGCCAGCUGGAUGACUACCGUGCUGAGAUAAGCCACCUGAGAGAGAGACUGGAGAAAACCUGCAAGCCACCUGCAGCCCUGAAAACUGAAACUAUCUCCAAUCCUCACAAAAAAGAGAAAAAAGAAAAAAAAAAAAAGAGUAAAAGAAAGUAAAGAAGAAACCAGCCUGCAACUCUGGCAGAGUGUUUGUGAGACCGCGCUGAGGACUGAACAUCAGACAAGCGGCUGGAAGACCUGAGGAGGUAGUGGCAAUAUUUUACACCGUGCAAAGUGUUUGCGAAGCCCAGUUCCACAGAUGUGCUGUGGUUCACUGAAUUUCAUUGAACUACUCUCCUAGUUUUCUGGCAUAGAAUAUACUGUUAGUUCACUGCAACAGCAUAAAAAACAAACCAAAACAACAAAAAUAAAAAAUAAUAAAAAAAAAAAUAAUAAAAAAACCCCACACUGUCAGACUUCUGUUCCUGUCCAGGUAGUAGUUAAGAGUUUUUCAAACUGUAGCAUUUGAGUGAAAACUGCAACCAUGUCAUGGGACCUAGGGUUCGAGGAAAGUAUCCUCAUCUACUAGUCUUUGUACUACUGCCUUAAAGAAAUAAAAUAAAGCAUCUUACCUCAGUCAGAACCAGCAAGAUGGUCCUGAAGCAGUGUCUGGGGCAAGUACUUGCUGAACUGCGGGGACAGGUGCCAGGCCCCUCACUUUCCACCUUCAAGCCAUUCCUAAAUAAGCCCUGAAGCUAUUCCUUUGUGAGGUGCCAGAUAAACUGCAGCGGUAGGCCCCCGACUCUAAAUCAAGGCUGAGGAUGUCACUAGGUUACAGGGCAUGUUGUGGUUAGAAAUAGCAAUCCUGACAUCCCUGCCUAAAAAAACAUUUAAUGGCUUUACAUAUAAUACAGAUUUUUUUCUCUUAUCUGCAUGCUAUUGUGAAGUUAUUUUCCUCUGGAGCUCCCACCAUGCAUUAACAUUUUGGCUGUCUCUGUUCCAAUAAAUCUUUGUAUGAUAGACGGUAA